This 253-nucleotide ribosomal RNA is filed under the name uncultured bacterium. RNAcentral describes it as "partial 16S ribosomal RNA". It matches the Rfam family "Bacterial small subunit ribosomal RNA", at positions 524 to 776 of the family's 1533-position model. The record is from RNAcentral.
UACGAAGGGUGCAAGCGUUACUCGGAAUUACUGGGCGUAAAGCGUGCGCAGGCGGGCGCUUAAGCCAGACGUGAAAUCCCCGAGCUUAACUUGGGAAUGGCGUUUGGGACUGGGCGACUAGAGUGCGGCAGAGGGGGGUGGAAUUCCAGGUGUAGCAGUGAAAUGCGUAGAGAUCUGGAGGAACACCGAUGGCGAAGGCAGCCCCCUGGGCCGGCACUGACGCUCAGGCACGAAAGCGUGGGGAGCAAACAGG